RNAcentral lists this ribosomal RNA (497 nucleotides) under uncultured bacterium. Its description in RNAcentral is "partial 16S ribosomal RNA". It matches the Rfam family "Bacterial small subunit ribosomal RNA", at positions 28 to 507 of the family's 1533-position model. The record is from RNAcentral.
GAUGAACGCUGGCAGCGUGCCUAAUACAUGCAAGUCGAGCGAACAGACGAGGAGCUUGCUCCUCUGACGUUAGCGGCGGACGGGUGAGUAACACGUGGAUAACCUACCUAUAAGACUGGGAUAACUUCGGGAAACCGGAGCUAAUACCGGAUACUAUAUUGAACCGCAUGGUUCAAUAGUGAAAGACGGUUUUGCUGUCACUUAUAGAUGGAUCCGCGCCGCAGUAGCUAGGGGGUAAGGUAACGGCUUACCAAGGCAACGAUGCGUAGCCGACCUGAGAGGGUGAGCGGCCACACUGGAACUGAGAUACGGUCCAGAGUCAUACGGGAGGCAGCAGUAGGGAAUCGUGCGCCAUGGGCGAAAGCCUGACGGAGCAACGCCGCGUGAGUGAUGAAGGUCUUCGGAUCGUAAAACUCUGUUAUUAGGGAAGAACAAAUGUGUAAGUAACUAUGCACGUAUUGACGGUACCUAAUCAGAAAGCCACGGCUAACUACGUG